RNAcentral lists this microRNA (21 nucleotides) under Arabidopsis lyrata. RNAcentral's name for it is "aly-miR3441-3p.1". The record is from miRBase by way of RNAcentral. Lineage: Eukaryota; Viridiplantae; Streptophyta; Magnoliopsida; Brassicales; Brassicaceae.
CCCUCAAUGAUGUUUUGAAGC